AACAGCUCAACAAUCUCUGGGAAAAUUACGUCCCUUUCCAAACAUCUGAAAAUUCCUAAAGCUCUCAUGUCGCCCUCUCACCACUCUGCAAAAUCUUUCCUCUUCCCCCCCAUUGGAGUCGAAGCUCUAAUAUCUCGGCUAUCAUUUACUUUGAUUACGAGUUGUGGUGCCAUUGUUUCUUCGACUUUGUGAUGAUUUCAAAGUUGUAAUUGAAUUCAAUCUCAAAUUUCA
This 231-nucleotide long non-coding RNA is filed under the name Gossypium raimondii (Peruvian cotton). RNAcentral describes it as "long non-coding RNA (GRAI_LNC006976)". The record is from RNAcentral. Lineage: Eukaryota; Viridiplantae; Streptophyta; Magnoliopsida; Malvales; Malvaceae.